CCCCCUCCCCUUCUCACUGCUCUCUCCGGCCUCAGGUUCCAGGCACUUGGUCCCAAUGGCUCCAUGCCUGCUGGAAGAGAAGGAGGAAGACUCUUGGGCAGAGGGGCCCAUGUCUUCCAAUGAGCAUGUGCACCUUUUCUGAAACUCACCCCGUCCCUGCUAUAAACCAAAUGUUUGCGUUCGCCCCAAAGGGCCCUGAAGAUUUAGGGGAGUGAUGUAAGAAUGGAGAACCAUUGGAGACAUUUCACUGUGAGGAGAGCUACCUAUCUGCUUCCUGCCUGACUCCCAUCAUGUGGCCUGGCUGUCCAGCUUUUCCUUCUAGUCUCCAAGCAAUUCCACACCUUCCAACAGAUUCCGUCUCCCUCUUUUACGUUAGCCGGAAUGUGUUUCUGGUGCCGUCAACCAAAUGCAAAUAGACAUACACUUUGAGUGCAGCAGGCUGUGAGGUGGUUUCUGCUGCCAGAGGGGAGCAAAUGUAGAAAAGAAAAAGGGGGAAGGAUUAAGUGGUCCAGCCAGAGAUACCGUGGUGGCAAGGCUGGGAGAGGCUUCACUUGUUCGCAGAGCUUUUUUCUAAACUCUUCUAUCACUUCUUUCUUCUGCUGUCCCUGGGAAGUCUGAUCCCUCCCCAUAUUCUCAAGUAACACAACCCACGUGUGGUUCUGAGGUGGCAGAGAAAGCCCUUUAUCCAUGUUCAGCGAUGCUGCUGCUUCCUACCCUAGAGAGUAGUCAGAGACAGUUACUGCUGGGCUAGAUUUCUUUAGUCUCAUUUUUUAGGACUUCACUUUAAAAAAAAAAAAACAAUUGGAAGAGAUGUUAGAGCCCCAGAGAGGGGCAAUGGAAGUUUGCCCCUUGGAAGUUUGGGUGGAGCCAGCUGGGGCUCAUCUCUGGGCUUCCACUUAGCCCUCACUACUCACAGAGUGGUCACCUGACCAGCAGCGUCAGUGCCACCUGGGAGCCUCCUACAAAUGCAGACUCUCAGGCCCACCUGGGCCUACAGAACCAGGAUCUGCAUGUUAUCAGUUUGAUCCCAGGGGACUCUAUGCACCUGGAAGUUCUGUGUUCCUGAAGGAAAUGGUCAGCAAAUCAAGGUGCUGUUCCUCAUCCUGUAGAGAAGCUUUUUCUUCUUGAGAACUUCCAUGUGAGGCACUUUUGAGGAGGUUCCCUGCAAACUUUGACAUUCAAGUUCUUCAUGUCUUUUCAUUACAAACCAUUUGUGUUAGACCUGAGGAUUUCAUAGCUACUUAAUUACAGAGACACAUGCCUGCUGCUAAUGAGAAAAAUAAACAUGAUCCCAUUCAGGGGGUUUAUUAAUUCAUUCUUGAUCCUUUUCACAGA
This is a long non-coding RNA of Artibeus jamaicensis (Jamaican fruit-eating bat), 1335 nucleotides long. RefSeq lists it as uncharacterized. The transcript is spliced from 3 exons. Lineage: Eukaryota; Metazoa; Chordata; Mammalia; Chiroptera; Phyllostomidae. The record is from RefSeq and is a predicted model, not a curated record.